This 253-nucleotide ribosomal RNA is filed under the name uncultured bacterium. RNAcentral's name for it is "partial 16S ribosomal RNA". It matches the Rfam family "Bacterial small subunit ribosomal RNA", at positions 524 to 776 of the family's 1533-position model. The record is from RNAcentral.
UACGGGGGGUGCGAGCGUUGUCCGGAAUCACUGGGCGUAAAGGGCGCGUAGGUGGCGUGAUAAGGGUGUGGUGAAAGCCCGAGGCUUAACCUCGGGUCUGCAGUCGAUACGGGCUAGCUAGAGUGUGGUAGGGGAGAUCGGAAUUCCUGGUGUAGCGGUGAAAUGCGCAGAUAUCAGGAGGAACACCGGUGGCGAAGGCGGAUCUCUGGGCCAUUACUGACGCUGAGGCGCGAAAGCGUGGGGAGCAAACAGG